This 24-nucleotide non-coding RNA is filed under the name Rattus norvegicus (Norway rat). Lineage: Eukaryota; Metazoa; Chordata; Mammalia; Rodentia; Muridae. The record is from RNAcentral.
AGCACAGGGCAAGCAAGCAGAGGA